UAGUAGAUGCCAAACUUCCAAUAAAUUCAGAUAAAAUAUCUCCAAAAUGUUUGGAAGCCUUCCAUCGAUGAACAGCAUGUCAAAUGAAACCAUGGAAACCUAGUGAGUAUCCUUCAUAUCUUGCGAACGGAGGAAUAGAAAAAGGAUAAAUGGAUAAGAGCACUAUACCUCUUUUGCAAACUCUGUGGGAAGAAUGUCCACAGAUGCACAUAUCACACCUUUACCCUCCAUGUCAUGGUGGUAAGAAUCAUUGAAGGGAUCGUAUCUAAAAAUUAUUACCAAAAUGAUCAACACAAAUAAAAUAACUAAAAAAUUGAAUAAUUACAGUAACUACCCCAUCAUAAUUAUAGAAAGAAUUUCUUGGGCUGGUUAAUCUCAGAGCUAAACUAGAUGAAAGUUUUCUGAGGCAGAACCAUUGGUUAAUAUUGCAAGCAGU
Molecule: long non-coding RNA, 436 nt
Filed under: Vitis vinifera (wine grape)
Lineage: Eukaryota; Viridiplantae; Streptophyta; Magnoliopsida; Vitales; Vitaceae
Description: long non-coding RNA (VVIN_LNC003356)
Source: RNAcentral